RNAcentral lists this long non-coding RNA (903 nucleotides) under Balaenoptera musculus (blue whale). RNAcentral's name for it is "lncRNA (ENSBMSG00010012408.1)". Lineage: Eukaryota; Metazoa; Chordata; Mammalia; Artiodactyla; Balaenopteridae. The record is from RNAcentral.
CUGGGUUCCCUGCCCUGUUGUGAGGGGAGGGGGAGCCAGCGCCGCCAACGCCAGACGCGCGCCCCCUCCCUUUCCCGCAGAUUUUUGGCUGCACGUGCGACUCUUCUAUGGCGCGGAGCUGGUGCGCGAAGCCACAGCGCGCGCGGCCGAGGGCUGCAGCUUGAGUCCGCGCGCGGCCGCCGCUGCCGCCGAGCUCCUGCUAGGGCCGCCGCCGCGCGUCGCGCAGGUUCGUUUCCCGGAGCCGCCGCCCGGCGCCCGCGUGCUGCGGCGCCUGCUGCCCCACCUGGAGCGCGGAGUGCUGCUCUGGGUGGCGCCCGAGGGCGUCUUCGCCAAGCGCCUGUGCCAGGGCCGUGUGUACUGGCGCGGCCCGCUCGCCCCGCACCGCGCGCGGCCCAACAAACUGGAGCGAGAGCGCACCUGCCAGCUCCUCGACACGCGCCGCUUCCUCGCGGAACUGAGAGCCCACCUGCAGGAUGGUCGCCAGGAGCCCGAGUACCAGAUCCGGCUGUGCUUUGGCGAGGAGUACCCGGGGCCCCCGGACCAGCCCGAGGAGCGUCUCAUUAUGGCCCAUGUGGAGCCAGUCUUCGCGCGGGAGCUCCUCCUACACUCGAAGCUUCACGGCCAGGUGCCUCGAUGGCGCGUUCCCAGCCCCGCAUCCCCGACAGCGUCACUCACCUGCUGACGCAGCUGAGUCAGCCCUGAGCGGCUGUUUCCCCCUCCCGUACCCUCUAAAGCAGUCCCCACAGGGUGCAGAUCCCACCCCAGCCCUGCCCCAGCUGAGCCAGGGAUCUUUAGGUCUCGCCUCACUCAUCGCCCAGGUAGGUUGAGACAGCGGAAGCCAGUCACGGCCUUCAAUCUCUCAGCCAAUGAGAUGGAGCCCCGGGAACCCAGGAAGGAGGCGCG